This 338-nucleotide unclassified non-coding RNA is filed under the name soil metagenome. RNAcentral's name for it is "partial contains 5.8S ribosomal RNA, internal transcribed spacer 2, and large subunit ribosomal RNA". The stretch from base 1 to 120 matches the Rfam family "5.8S ribosomal RNA", at positions 35 to 154 of the family's 154-position model. The record is from RNAcentral.
GAUGAAGAACGCAGCGAAAUGCGAUAAGUAAUGUGAAUUGCAGAAUUCAGUGAAUCAUCGAAUCUUUGAACGCACAUUGCGCCCCUUGGUAUUCCAUGGGGCAUGCCUGUUCGAGCGUCAUCUACACCCUCAAGCUCUGCUUGGUGUUGGGCGUCUGUCCCGCCCCCGCGCGUGGACUCGCCCCAAAUCCAUUGGCAGCGUUCCUUGCCCCCUCUCGCGCAGCACAUUGCGCUUCUCGAGGGCGGCUCCGGGACGCGAUCCAGCAAGAUGACCACCGUCUUUGACCUCGGAUCAGGUAGGGAUACCCGCUGAACUUAAGCAUAUCAAUAAGCGGAGGA